RNAcentral lists this transfer RNA (97 nucleotides) under Candidatus Aenigmatarchaeota archaeon. RNAcentral describes it as "tRNA-Ala". It matches the Rfam family "tRNA". Rfam says of the family: Transfer RNA (tRNA) molecules are approximately 80 nucleotides in length. Their secondary structure includes four short double-helical elements and three loops (D, anti-codon, and T loops). The record is from RNAcentral. Lineage: Archaea; Nanobdellati; Candidatus Aenigmatarchaeota.
GGGCCUGUAGUCGAAUGGUAAGACGCCGCCCUCGCACGGCGGAGACUCCGGGUUCGACGCUUCAAUGGAAAAGUUCACGGAAAUCCCGGCGGGUCCA